GAAGAGAGAGUUCAAGAGUACGUGAAACCGUCUGGGAGUAAACGGGUGGUUCCCGAAAGUGCGAAAGGGGAGAUUCAGGUUUCGCCGCGCGCCGGGCCGCGCCCGAAGCAAGGGAUGGCGUUCUCGCGGCCGAGGGGCGACCCCCGGUCCGGGAGCGCCACCCUUCGAGGCGCUGUACGUCCCGGCGUCGGAGUGACGCACUUCUCCCCCGGUAGAACGUCGCGAUCCGUCGGUCGCCGGCCUACGGCCCCGGGUGGAGCCUGCGCGGUUCGCCGCGCAUGACCCCGGGAUCCCGGCCGGGUGCCCGACGGCAUGAAGAGAGGAAGGAGUCGGCGCGCCUCUCGUUAGGCGUCCGCCCCUCCGCAAGCGCCCGCGGGAAUCGGAGGCUCCGGGCCCGGCCCGGUCUCCUUCUUCAGCGGGGCUGUUUGCGACGAGGAGGUGUGCUCGGAC
This 450-nucleotide ribosomal RNA is filed under the name Celithemis elisa. Its description in RNAcentral is "eukaryotic LSU rRNA". The record is from RNAcentral. Lineage: Eukaryota; Metazoa; Arthropoda; Insecta; Odonata; Libellulidae.